AUUAAACGCUGGCGGCAUGCCUUACACAUGCAAGUCGAACGGCAGCACUGGGGCAACCCUGGUGGCGAGUGGCGAACGGGUGAGUAAAGCAUCGGAACGUGCCCUGGAGUGGGGGGAUAACGUAGCGAAAGUUACGCUAAUACCGCAUAUUCUGUGAGCAGGAAAGCAGGGGAUCGCAAGACCUUGCGCUCUGGGAGCGGCCGAUGUCGGAUUAGCUAGUUGGUGGGGUAAAGGCCUACCAAGGCGACGAUCCGUAGCGGGUCUGAGAGGAUGAUCCGCCACACUGGGACUGAGACACGGCCCAGACUCCUACGGGAGGCAGCAGUGGGGAAUUUUGGACAAUGGGCGAAAGCCUGAUCCAGCCAUGCCGCGUGAGUGAAGAAGGCCU
This 388-nucleotide ribosomal RNA is filed under the name uncultured bacterium. RNAcentral's name for it is "bacterial SSU rRNA". It matches the Rfam family "Bacterial small subunit ribosomal RNA", at positions 29 to 417 of the family's 1533-position model. The record is from RNAcentral.